UCAUCUGGACGGCAGAUC
RNAcentral lists this small nuclear RNA (18 nucleotides) under Arabidopsis thaliana (thale cress). Its description in RNAcentral is "snRNA_00618". The record is from RNAcentral. Lineage: Eukaryota; Viridiplantae; Streptophyta; Magnoliopsida; Brassicales; Brassicaceae.